GCGGAGGAAAAGAAAAUAACAAUGAUUUCCCUAGUAACGGCGAGUGAAGAGGAAAGAGCUCAAAGUUGGAACCUGUUUGGCCUAGCUAAACAGGAUUGUAAACUGUAGAAGUGUUUUCCAGGCAAUCCGAGUUAAUAAGUCCUUUGGAACAGGGCAUCAUAGAGGGUGAGAAUCCCGUCUUUGAUUCGAGAAUUUUUUGCCUUUUGCGAUACACUUUCAAAGAGUCAGGUUGUUUGGGAAUGCAGCCUAAAUUGGGUGGUAAAUCUCACCUAAAGCUAAAUAUUGGCGAGAAACCGAUAGCGAACAAGUACCGUGAGGGAAAGAUGAAAAGAACUUUGAAAAGAGAGUUAAACAGUAUGUGAAAUUGUUAAAAGGGAACCGUUUGGAGCCAGACUGGCUUGUCUGUAAUCAAUCUAGGCUUUGGCCUGGAUGCACUUGCAGACUAUGCCUGCCAACGACAAUUUGAUUUGAGGGAAAAAACUAGAGGAAAUGUGGCCAGCUUUUUUUUGUUGGUGUUAUAGUCCUUUAGAAAAUACCUUGGAUUGGAUUGAGGAACGCAGCGAAUGCUCUUGUGGCGAGUCUUUGAUAAGUCUUUACAGAUAUGACUGGGUGUUAAAAAACCCAGAACUUGAAGUUUAAACUUGUUUU
This 648-nucleotide ribosomal RNA is filed under the name Rhizopus sexualis. RNAcentral's name for it is "eukaryotic LSU rRNA". It matches the Rfam family "Eukaryotic large subunit ribosomal RNA", at positions 50 to 634 of the family's 3401-position model. The record is from RNAcentral. Lineage: Eukaryota; Fungi; Mucoromycota; Mucoromycetes; Mucorales; Rhizopodaceae.